AAAGAAAAUAACAAUGAUUCCCCUAGUAACGGCGAGCGAAGAGGGAAUAGCUCAAAUUUUAAAUCUGUUGGGUCUUACCUAACCGAGUUGUAAUUUGAAGAAGCGUUUUCUGCGUGUUUGAUUUAGCCCAAAUCCUUUGGGAUAGGGUAUCAUGGAGGGUGAGAAUCCCGUCCGGCCUAAUCAAAUGUGCUUUACGAUACGUUUUCUAAGAGUCGAGUUGUUUGGGAUUGCAGCUCAAAAUUGGAGGUAAAUUUCUCCUAAGGCUAAAUAUAGGCGAGAGACCGAUAGCGAACAAGUACCGUGAGGGAAAGAUGAAAAGAACUUUGAAAAGAGAGUUAAACAGUACGUGAAAUUGUUGAAAGGGAAACGAUUAAAGUCAGUCGUACUAACGGGGAAUCAACCUUUUGAGGGUGGAAUUGUGGGAUUCAGAGUGCCUUUGUCUUUCACAACCUGCUUUUUUUGGGUGCACUUCCUCGUAUUGUAGGUCAGCAUCGGUUUCGACCGUUAUAAAAUGACUGGAGGAAUGUAGCUUCGAUCUCGUAUUGAAGUGUUAUAGCCUUUGGUAGAUGUAACGGAUGGGAUCGAGGAUUGCAAUGAAUACCCUCAUGGGCUAUCCGCCUGGCCUCUGACAUGUCACUCUGGUGCCGAAAGCUUGCUUAUGGUAUUAUAGUGUACGGUCAAAAGGUUAGAACGGAUUAAAUU
RNAcentral lists this ribosomal RNA (702 nucleotides) under uncultured Glomeromycotina. Its description in RNAcentral is "eukaryotic LSU rRNA". It matches the Rfam family "Eukaryotic large subunit ribosomal RNA", at positions 58 to 640 of the family's 3401-position model. The record is from RNAcentral. Lineage: Eukaryota; Fungi; Glomeromycota.